RNAcentral lists this transfer RNA (66 nucleotides) under Cnemaspis limi. RNAcentral's name for it is "tRNA-Lys". Lineage: Eukaryota; Metazoa; Chordata; Lepidosauria; Squamata; Gekkonidae. The record is from RNAcentral.
CCAUAAGUAGCUUACACCAAGCACUAGCCUUUUAAGCUAGAGAUGGGCACCAUCGCCCCUCAUGGU